GACAUCCGACGUCAUGACGUCACGCCCACACUUGCCAGAAACCGGAAGAGAGCUUCAAGAUGGUGGAGGGAAGCCAAAUAAUGAGAAACAGCUGCUCUUGAUCUGGUUCUUAAUUUAUUGCACAUUGUAUAUAAAUUGGUGCAUGUUACUGCAUGUUUAAGGACAUUUGCAUUGAAAAAGGGCUUGUGCCCAAAAUGUUUGCC
This is a non-coding RNA of Pelobates cultripes (western spadefoot toad), 203 nucleotides long. The record is from the annotation of a GenBank genome assembly. NCBI's taxonomy places the organism in Eukaryota, Metazoa, Chordata, Amphibia, Anura, Pelobatidae.